Molecule: long non-coding RNA, 605 nt
Organism: Mustela erminea (ermine)
Lineage: Eukaryota; Metazoa; Chordata; Mammalia; Carnivora; Mustelidae
Exons: 3
Source: RefSeq, a predicted model, not a curated record
GGGUCCUGAGGGGAAAGAGGAAGCAGAACUGAGAACUGGGGUCUCCACAGUCUAUCUGGCCAUCAUUCCCCGACCCCAGAGCCAAGGGCUGUCACCUUCCUCUGCAGCCACAGACGUUCCCAAACCACUCUCCCUUCCUGUACCAUUUCAGCUCAAACAGAAAACAUCCCUGCUGUCACUGCUGACUGGUGCCUUUCAUACUCCUGGGCUAAAUGCCCCCAGCUUUACUCAACUGCAACUCCCCUAGGUAACUUUGUAGAACCAGAGACAGAGAGAGAUCUAGAAGCAGGAGCAUGGACCUCAGCUGGCCUGUGACAGGGAAAAGGCAUGGAAGGAGUGGAGAAAGCAGAACCACCAUCAAGGAGUAAUUCUGGCCAAGACUUCUGUGCUGGGUGUCAUCCUAAAUGCUGGAUGGGAACAGACUCAUGGAGUCCUUACAUACUCCGACGAAGAUGGGUUCUGUUACUGUCCUGCUACCCAGAGACACAGACGCUCCUCACCAUCUCAUAUUACAUGCUUGUUGUAGUCAGAACCCCAGAGGACCACCCGACGAUCACGGCCCCCUCCGGACACCAGCGUCCCGUCCCGCAGGGCGCAGAGGCCAA